UACGUAGGGUGCAAGCGUUAAUCGGAAUUACUGGGCGUAAAGCGUGCGCAGGCGGUUUUGUAAGUCUGUCGUGAAAUCCCCGGGCUCAACCUGGGAAUUGCGAUGGAGACUGCAAGGCUAGAAUCUGGCAGAGGGGGGUAGAAUUCCACGUGUAGCAGUGAAAUGCGUAGAGAUGUGGAGGAACACCGAUGGCGAAGGCAGCCCCCUGGGUCAAGAUUGACGCUCAUGCACGAAAGGCGUGGGGAGCAAACAGG
This 254-nucleotide ribosomal RNA is filed under the name uncultured bacterium. RNAcentral describes it as "partial 16S ribosomal RNA". It matches the Rfam family "Bacterial small subunit ribosomal RNA", at positions 524 to 776 of the family's 1533-position model. The record is from RNAcentral.